Molecule: long non-coding RNA, 6028 nt
Organism: Carcharodon carcharias (great white shark)
Lineage: Eukaryota; Metazoa; Chordata; Chondrichthyes; Lamniformes; Lamnidae
Exons: 7
Source: RefSeq, a predicted model, not a curated record
GGGAAAGAGGUAAAAGAUUUUUUAAAAAGUCAGAUCCGUCCGAGUGAGUAAAAGAACAAAUACAGGAUGAAGAUGGAAAAUAACCAUAGAGGUCCUGGAACUCUAUGGCAACCGUAAUUUGCUAAUUCACUCCGCAAAGAAUUACAAUGGCUGCAGUUUAAAGGACGUGUUCACUGGAACAGGAUGAGAGAUACAUACAAUAUUGCAGUCCUGGAACAGAGUGUGCCUUGAAAGAUAGGAUAGUGCCGGCAAGGAGUCCUCGACCAAGGGAGCUGCCUGACAACAGCAUUUUAAUUGGCAGCUUUUAACAAUCAUGCAGGACUGUCCCCAAUCUGCAGUAGAACAGCUUGAAGAAACCACCAGAUAAAUCCUACAAUUCCAAAGCCCUAAAGGAAAAAUCCUAGUCCAGGUCGGAGCAGUUUAACCUGUUCACUGACUCUCCCUCAGAGGCAACUGAUAUGAGGAACCUUCCCUGAGUGCCCAAAGUCUCGACACGUGAAUCCGUAGCUCUGGAACUUUUUACGGUGGCUAUGUCCUGGCCCUACCUCCUCAGCCUAACUCUCCAUUCACAGCUCCAUCUCUCCCACCAUGCUUGCUGACAUUCCAGUCCUAGUGUCACCUACUCCAUCACCCCCAUCACCACCUCCCCCCCCCACCCCCCCACAUGCUUGCUGAUCUUUCCCCCUUUCCUGCUCUCUGCUGCCGCGAAUGCUGUUUCCAUUUGUUUUGAUGCUGCACUAUAAGGAAUCCAAGCGUGACAAAUAAGUCAACGGCAAGACAGUCAAAUUAUAGCAAACUUGGCAGAACCAAAAAGGGCAGAGCAUUUUUACUGGAUGGCAGAUUUUUCUAAAACAACAAAGAAUCAGAGAUGGCAUGCAAUUGCCCCUUGCUGUCAACUCCACGGUAUGCAUGACAUACAUCAAAUAAUGCAAGCUAAUGCCUGAUUACUUUGGGGGGAAGCGAUGGAGCACAGAUGGCCACAUCCGCUUCAAUUCUCACCAAUUCACCAUGCUAUGUUUAUUUGAAAGAGGAUGGAGAUUUGACGAUUGACUUCUUAAGGACCCAAGAGACUUGUUUACUCCCUCAAUAGUCAUAAGCUCUGCAAAUUUAUGAGACACAUAUCCAUACCAAAGUCCUUAAAAAUCAGCAUUAAAAAUCAGAGGUUCUAACGUUGUAGAGAUCAGAGAUGUCUUGCAACAGUUCAGUAAGGCAGCUACCAUCACUUUCUCAGGGCAGUAAUUUCCAGCGAGGCCCACAUCUGAACAAUAAAUAAAAGAACGGACAAGACAUUCAAAGUCAUAGUUGUAUGUUGAACAGUACGCAAUUUGUCCAUACAUUGGGGAGUUACAGCAAGAGGAUGAGAAGACUCUACCACAACUGUUGACAAAGAAGGAAUGAAGAUGCUACCUGUCUGUCAUUCUAGCACUUGGCAUUGUAUCACUCAACCAUUGAUUUGGAGGAGGUUAACAGUGCAGGCUACACUGGCUACAUUAGUUACCUUGUUAUCUAGGUAACCCCUCGCAUUAACAGAUUUCCAGCAUCCACAGUAUUUUGCUUUUAUGCUUAAAAGUAUUCCUAUUUAGAAGAUGGCAACGCACAAUAAUAUGAUGAAAAAAUGGAGUCAAAAUUUCACAGAUGAAGAAUUGAACAAGGUGAAGGAAAGGCGCGUGUACGUCCUAAGGCGCAGAAAAUCUAAACCUCCAAGAAAACAGAGCAUGGCUUGGAAACAGGUUGCAGCAGUUCUGAAUGUGAAUAGCAUUGUGCCUAGUACGGUGGAUCAGUACCCUAAGAAACCGAAUGAUUAAUGCAUUCAGCCAGGACAAAGCUGGUCCAUAAUGCCCGGGGCACACAGUGACUGAAGGGAGGCUGGCAUACAUUAAGGACCUUACCGAACAGGAGGAGUAUUUAUGGAGGCUGAAUAGUCUCUCCAAUCCCAUGGUAAAAAGCAAUGUAUCAGAUAUGGGGAUGAGUGAAGAUGCCACAGGCACAUCAAAUGCCCAUUUGGUGAGUUUGCUGCUGCAGCAGAGAUACUUGAAAGGAGUCAGGAUGCAAAGGAAACAUGUACGUCGCAGCAGUGCAGCACUGUAGCUACAGCAGAGGGAGAGGCCUUUCAGGAGGGUGAGAUCUCAAACUUUGAAGUUCUCUUUUCUUAUUUUGGAAUGGAGGGAAGAAUGAAGGAAGGGAGGGAUGGAUACUUGGUGAAUUUUCAAAGCUCAAUGUCCAAAAGCAGUAGCAACCAGGCAAUCUCGAGUUGCCCUGGUGGCAGCUGGAGCCUAGGCCUCCUGCGAGAGGCUCUGCAUUGCCCCCCUCCAGCUCCUCCAUUUCUGGCACCAAGUCAUCUUCAGGGUGAAGGUUCAGUCCUUGCUGGAGGGUACUACAACAAUCUUUGAGACUAUCACAGGUACGUACUUUAACAUGCCCCCUUACCUGUCCUGGCAUUGAAAACGUGACUUUAACAGUCCAAUUGUCCUCUCUACCACCUUAUGCGUUGCCACAUCUGCAUAGUUAUAUUGCUCCAGUGCUUCACUAGUGGUCCUCCAAAAUGGUGUCAUAAGCCACAUUCUCAGUGGGUAUCCUUUAUCACCCAGUAGCCACCAUGUAAUUCCUGAUCAUGGAGUCAUGGUCUGGUGCAACAUUGACUUUGUCAGGACGAAUGAGUCAUGGGCACUUCCCCAAUUAUUUGCAUUCACAUUGAGGAUCCUCAUUUGGGCACCACACACUAUCAUCACAUUUAAAGAAUGGAAACCCUGUUGAUGAACAAGACAGCCUCAUCUAUUGGCGCCUUCAAUGAAAUAUGUGUUCCAUCGACAGCCCCAAUAACUUUCAGGAAACCAACAAUCUUGUGCGAUGCGAGGGACCUCUCCUUCAUCCUCACAAGGGAUAUGUCAAAAAUAAUGAACUCUGAAGUCCUACGAAAAGUUUCCUCAGUUACCUGGUGAAUGCAGACCCUUGCAGCAUUCUGUGAAACGUUGCUCAUGUCACUAAUACCAUGUUGAAAAGACCAAGCCACAAAUAAAUUAAGUGCUGUUGUGAGUUUCAUCUCCACUGUUAAGGCAGAGCGGCAUUCCGAGUUUGACUUCAGCUCUUCAACAUUUCACAAAGGCAUCCCAUCGCUUCCUUACUGAAGCAUAGUCUCCUGACACACAACUCCUCUGACAUCAUUUCAUAUGACGUCCUUUACUUGUAGUAUCUGGGGAGGGUAAUUAGUGGUCAUGUUGCCUGACUCUCCUCUCAUGGUCCUUGCACCUACGUCGAGCCCCCAACAUAAGUAGAGUGGUUCCAAUAAGCAGAGCAGAAAUUGUGAUGUGCCAGGGGUUGAACAUGACUCCAGAUCAAGUUUGCAAUCUGCUCUGGAUUCUGGAAUACCUGUCGGAGAGAGUUCACACCAUCUUACAGGAGGCUUGCAUAUGCCCUUUUAGCAUUACACUUUUCUAAAGCGUUUUAAAUAGCCAAAUUACAUACUUGUUGAAGUAAAUGCAAAACUCCUUUUCACAUAUAUUAAAUUUAUGAUUUAAGAGACUUCUAAGGAUCAACUUUGAAUUAAAAGGACUCUUAAAAGUGGAGUACACCACACUGCAUUAAAAUGCAUCAGAGACACAUAUUUUACAAAAUAACUUUAGCUGAAGCUUAUUAUAGACACUUCCUUGAGUCUAACCCACCUUGUUAUGUAUGAAAGCACUUUUUAAUGGAAUAAAACAACAGAAUUGAAUGACAAAGUAAAAAGAUUAAAAGUUCUAUCUUUCUUACACAUUCUGCACAUAUAUUUACGACAUUUUUUAAACAUAAAUUUAAAAAAAAUUACCUACCUAAAGAAUCUCUCCAAAAUGUCUGCUGCCUCUCUUCACCACAGUUAGACCAAGAAUAAAAGUGUAAAAUAAAAUCCAUGUAAAUACUUUCCUAUCAUUGGGGCAUCUAGGCGAAGUUAGCGCUGUCACAUCCAUUUAAAUCGAAGCCCUUCAACGUAGCGUACUCAGCUGGCAGUUGUUAAUCCUGAGUUGGAGGUUUGAAUGCGGCGCCCUCUUAGCGCCCAUGUGCGUGCGUCGGGUCCCCGACAGGGUCCUGACAUGCAACUUCCAGGCUACACUAUCGGAGCACCGGUAAGUAAUGAGCAAGUUAAGGCCCAAUGAUUUUACAAGCAGGGAAUACCAUGCAUGAGUUGCAGGAGGUAAAGCAAUCAUUGAAACAGUGUCAGAAGGAAAACAUGUGUCUCAGACAGGAAUUGGAGGAUGCAUGUGGGCAAUCCAGGAAUUGAUUAAACAGCUUCACAAGGAGACUGAUCAUAGCUCAUGUAAGGUAGAGAUUGAGCUGUUGAGAAAUAAACUAGGAAGAUAGCAGACAAUUUCAGCAAUGACUACCAAGUCCUAGGUUUCAGCUGGUAAGACAAAAGAUUUGGAAUAUAGUGGAGGUAGUAUGGCGAUAGAGAACUCUUUUCCUUCAAUAGUUUCAGCUCCAGUAGCGGUAGUACAGGCACAGUGUGAGAUGAAUCAUCAUGGAGCAAUAGUGGGGUACAGGAUGACUUUGAACAGUUUGACACUUAAUUCAUUACUGGCUUAUGUUCAGGAGCUAGGGACUUUUAAGUCAGGGACUUGUCCCAUAGCAUUGUAUAUGCAGUAUCAGGUUUUCAGGCUGAGUUAGAGGAAUAGGAUUGUAAAAGAAUAAUUCUUGCAGCUUGCGAUUCAGGAAUUGAGAUGGGAUUUCAUCCUGACAUAUAUCAAAGAACAGCAAAUGAGGUAAUAGAUGCAGUUCUUAAAUGGUUAAAUGGUGAGAAAAUGGAUAUUAAUGUAAAGAUGAAGUCUUGUAAGCAGGGACCGGAGGAGAAUCCAGGAGCGUUUGUCUGAUGGUUAUAUGGGUUCUCAGAGGGACACCCUCCACCCACACUGGCAGCAGGGUUUGACAGGGUCCUUUCAAGAGCGCUCUUCUUAAGUGGACUAGGCCAGAGCCACAGUUGGCCUUAAGCUACACCAUUAGUCGUGCAACUCCAUGGGUUACAAUUGAGGACCAUGUGAAGAGAGCUUAGGAUAUGAUAAAAGACAGUAUCCAGCUUAAGGGAGAAAUAGUUAAAAAGUCUAUUGUGGAAGGAUUGAGAGAAGUUCCAGUAUUUUUGAUUAAUCUCAGAUGUUGUGUUAUAGCUGCAUGAGAGCAGGACACAUAGAAAAGGAGUGUAAAGGGAUUAUGCAGGCAAGAAUGAGAGAUCACCCAAGGCGAGAUCACAUCUGUACGCUUCACAGUCAGUGUCUAGUGCUGAAGGCAAAAGCACAGAAGUGACAGUGAAUCAAUUGGCUAAUGAAAUUGUUGAUUUAAGUCGUGUUGAGAAAGCAUAUCUUCAAGAACUAUAUUUUGUUUUAAAAUUUGUAAGGACAUAAUAUUAUUUGGACUUGGAUUUUUUUUUAAAAGACAUAAGUUCACCUUGGGCUGUGAGCAAGAUUGUCUUUUCCAAUAAAUCACAUGACUUCAACUAAAUGAUGAGCACGGCACUUGAGGAGGACAGCUACUUGCUUAUUUGAAAUGUAAUUACUUUAAUGGCUGGAAAAAAAACUGUUUUAAAGGCAAAGGCCUGGUGAUUUACUGGAAAUCACCUGACAAAGAUAAGUUUUAUGUUUUGAACUUGUUUUCUUGAACUCAGUUGGGAAUAAACCAACAAGGAGAAAGCUGCCCAACUUGCGCUUUCCUUGCCUUGCCUGAAAUACAGUGUGGCUAUCAGUUUUCAACUAGGAAUCCUCACCUCAGUGGAACUUGUCUGUAUUUGGAAACCCAAGAAGCUGAGACGAGAGGUGGAUCCCAAAGAUUGAUCUGGCUCUAUUCUCCUCCAUGCCGAAGCUCCGUGGUGAGAACCUUCAGAUUACGAGGGAGCAGCAGAUCGACAGCAUCAAAACCCUGUGAACUUUAUCCUUUUCAUAAAGUCUUCUUUAAUCACCAAACUCUGCAGAGACCCUAUUUGUCCUUUGUUCGUUUGUGUGUGUGUGCUGGGUUUUUUUUAAAAAGGGAUAGAUAGUUACACUUGCAGAUUACAAAUUGUGUGUUAACCACU